Molecule: ribosomal RNA, 2991 nt
Filed under: Salmonella enterica subsp. enterica
Lineage: Bacteria; Pseudomonadati; Pseudomonadota; Gammaproteobacteria; Enterobacterales; Enterobacteriaceae
Description: bacterial LSU rRNA
Rfam family: Bacterial large subunit ribosomal RNA
Source: RNAcentral
UUAAGCGACUAAGCGUACACGGUGGAUGCCCUGGCAGUCAGAGGCGAUGAAGGGCGUGCUAAUCUGCGAUAAGCGCCGGUAAGGUGAUAUGAACCGUUAUAACCGGCGAUACCCGAAUGGGGAAACCCAGUGUGAUUCGUCACACUAUCAUUAACUGAAUCCAUAGGUUAAUGAGGCGAAACCGGGGGAACUGAAACAUCUAAGUACCCCGAGGAAAAGAAAUCAACCGAGAUUCCCCCAGUAGCGGCGAGCGAACGGGGAGGAGCCCAGAGCCUGAAUCAGCAUGUGUGUUAGUGGAAGCGUCUGGAAAGGCGCGCGAUACAGGGUGACAGCCCCGUACACAAAAGCGCAUGUGCUGUGAGCUCGAUGAGUAGGGCGGGACACGUGGUAUCCUGUCUGAAUAUGGGGGGACCAUCCUCCAAGGCUAAAUACUCCUGACUGACCGAUAGUGAACCAGUACCGUGAGGGAAAGGCGAAAAGAACCCCGGCGAGGGGAGUGAAAAAGAACCUGAAACCGUGUACGUACAAGCAGUGGGAGCACCCUUUGGGGUGUGACUGCGUACCUUUUGUAUAAUGGGUCAGCGACUUAUAUUCUGUAGCAAGGUUAACCGAAUAGGGGGAGCCGCAGGGAAACCGAGUCUUAAUUGGGCGUUAAGUUGCAGGGUAUAGACCCGAAACCCGGUGAUCUAGCCAUGGGCAGGUUGAAGGUUGGGUAACACUAACUGGAGGACCGAACCGACUAAUGUUGAAAAAUUAGCGGAUGACCUGUGGCUGGGGGUGAAAGGCCAAUCAAACCGGGAGAUAGCUGGUUCUCCCCGAAAGCUAUUUAGGUAGCGCCUCGUGAAUUCAUCUCCGGGGGGUAGAGCACUGUUUCGGCUAGGGGGCCAUCCCGGCUUACCAACCCGAUGCAAACUGCGAAUACCGGAGAAUGUUAUCACGGGAGACACACGGCGGGUGCUAACGUCCGUCGUGAAGAGGGAAACAACCCAGACCGCCAGCUAAGGUCCCAAAAGUCAUGGUUAAGUGGGAAACGAUGUGGAAGGCCCAGACAGCCAGGAUGUUGGCUUAGAAGCAGCCAUCAUUUAAAGAAAGCGUAAUAGCUCACUGGUCGAGUCGGCCUGCGCGGAAGAUGUAACGGGGCUAAACCAUGCACCGAAGCUGCGGCAGCGAACGUAUCACUUAAAGCGAUUCAGCGGGUUACGAUUGACGGAGCGAAGCGACGUCAAAGCGUAUACAAAAGUCGAGUCGGUUUAAGGAUACGUUCGUUGGGUAGGGGAGCGUUCUGUAAGCCUGCGAAGGUGGCCUGUGAGGGUUGCUGGAGGUAAUCAGAAGUGCGAAUGCUGACAUAAGUAACGAUAAAGCGGGUGAAAAGCCCGCUCGCCGGAAGACCAAGGGUUCCUGUCCAACGUUAAUCGGGGCAGGGUGAGUCGACCCCUAAGGCGAGGCCGAAAGGCGUAGUCGAUGGGAAACGGGUUAAUAUUCCCGUACUUGGUGUUACUGCGAAGGGGGGACGGAGAAGGCUAUGUUGGCCGGGCGACGGUUGUCCCGGUUUAAGCGUGUAGGCUGGUUUUCCAGGCAAAUCCGGAAAAUCAAGGCUGAGGCCGUGACGACGAGGCACUACGGUGCUGAAGCAACAAAUGCCCCUGCUUCCAGGAAAAGCCUCUAAGCAUCAGGUAACAUCAAAUCGUACCCCAAACCGACACAGGUGGUCAGGUAGAGAAUACCAAGGCGCUUGAGAGAACUCGGGUGAAGGAACUAGGCAAAAUGGUGCCGUAACUUCGGGAGAAGGCACGCUGACACGUAGGUGAAGUGAUUUACUCAUGGAGCUGAAGUCAGUCGAAGAUACCAGCUGGCUGCAACUGUUUAUUAAAAACACAGCACUGUGCAAACACGAAAGUGGACGUAUACGGUGUGACGCCUGCCCGGUGCCGGAAGGUUAAUUGAUGGGGUCAGCGCAAGCGAAGCUCCUGAUCGAAGCCCCGGUAAACGGCGGCCGUUAACUAUAACGGUCCUAAGGUAGCGAAAUUCCUUGUCGGGUAAGUUCCGACCUGCACGAAUGGCGUAAUGAUGGCCAGGCUGUCUCCACCCGAGACUCAGUGAAAUUGAACUCGCUGUGAAGAUGCAGUGUACCCGCGGCAAGACGGAAAGACCCCGUGAACCUUUACUAUAGCUUGACACUGAACAUUGAGCCUUGAUGUGUAGGAUAGGUGGGAGCUUUGAAGUGUGGACGCCAGUCUGCAUGGAGCCGACCUUGAAAUACCACCCUUUAAUGUUUGAUGUUCUAACGUGGACCCGUAAUCCGGGUUGCGGACAGUGUCUGGUGGGUAGUUUGACUGGGGCGUCUCCUCCUAAAGAGUAACGGAGGAGCACGAAGGUUGGCUAAUCCUGGUCGGACAUCAGGAGGUUAGUGCAAUGGCAUAAGCCAGCUUGACUGCGAGCGUGACGGCGCGAGCAGGUGCGAAAGCAGGUCAUAGUGAUCCGGUGGUUCUGAAAUGGAAGGGCCCAUCGCUCAACGGAUAAAAGGUACUCCGGGAUAACAGGCUGAUACCGCCCAAGAGUUCAUAUCGACGGCGGUGUUUGGCACCUCGAUGUCGGCUCAUCACAUCCUGGGGCUGAAGUAGGUCCCAAGGGUAUGGCUGUUCGCCAUUUAAAGUGGUACGCGAGCUGGGUUUAGAACGUCGUGAGACAGUUCGGUCCCUAUCUGCCGUGGGCGCUGGAGAACUGAGGGGGGCUGCUCCUAGUACGAGAGGACCGGAGUGGACGCAUCACUGGUGUUCGGGUUGUCAUGCCAAUGGCACUGCCCGGUAGCUAAAAUGCGGAAGAGAUAAGUGCUGAAAGCAUCUAAGCACGAAACUUGCCCCGAGAUGAGUUCUCCCUGAGACUUAGAGUCUCCUGAAGGAACGUUGAAGACGACGACGUUGAUAGGCCGGGUGUGUAAGCGCAGCGAUGCGUUGAGCUAACCGGUACUAAUGAACCGUGAGGCUUAACCUU